UUGCCCUUUUUAAUUUAAUUCAGUUAAAUUAAUUUCAAAUCCGAUCCAAAUUAAAUUUCACACCCGACCCAAAUAAAAAUCAGAUCCGGUCCAAUCUUUAGAAAAUCAAGACGCAUAUCCACUAUGCGAAUUCAGUGUCUCUUUCUCUCCCACUCUCACUAUCUCACUAACACAAAAAACUCUAAAAGAAAACUUAGUUUCUUCAUGAUUCUUCACCUUCUACCACAAAGAAUCGAGUUAGAGGGCCUUAUCUGGUGAAGAAUAUCAAAAAGCUUUUUCUUCUUCGUCAUUCUUCUUCUCCAUCUCUUCAAAUCCUAGAAUUCUUCUCUAUUCAAGCUCUAAUUUUUGGUUCUAAACUUCGAUUCAAACAACAAAAGAACUGAUUUUUUUCUUUCAUUUUAAUAUCAUAAAUUAGACAUUAUAUCAUGUCUAAAAUUAGUUGUGAUUCUAUCACUAAUUCAGUGAGGACUUAUCUAUGUGGUGAAAUUGCUCGUUGUUCACUUCAAGGACUCAAUUGAAUUCAGGAAUUUUUUUUAUACGUGUCCUAAACCUAAGGUAUGUUUUUCAUCAAGUGCCAAUUCGUCUUACUUGUAUGUUUCAAUCGUAUGAUAUAAGUUUUUAUAUUUUGAAUUUUUUUAUUGGGAUAUACAGAGUGAAGAGUGAAAAUUGUGAGAUCUGAAAGUGGGAAAAUAAUCAUUCAAAAAAGUUUUUAGUCCAAAUUAAUGAUUUGAACGCUAAAUUGAAAGUUGCUACGAUGAAAAUAGAGAUUUUGAGAGAUUCAUUGAAUGCAAUUUAGAAGGUUUCAUGGAGGAGGUAAAGACUGAUUCAGAUGAAGAUUGAAUUACCGAGACCUUGCAUCCAUACCAUAAAUUAAGGAUGCUUUGCAAUUCCUAAGGGCCCUGAUGGAAAGGAUCAUAUAAGUCAAGAGGAUUGAGAAAACUUUUAGCAAUAUAAAAUGGAGGGAGAUGUGUAACAUCCAUAUUAGCAAAUACCAUUCUUAGUGACCAUGAAUUUUCCCCCAGUUUGUAAAGAGAUUUGUGUUUAAGGAAAAGGUUGAGUCUCUUCUUCCAAGGUAAAGAGACAAGAAACUACUCUGAGGUGGAAAAAUCAAGAAACUUGGAAGAAAAACUGUUAAAGAUAAGGAUGUUUUAUGUUGUUUCACUUGUUGUGUUUGUCAGAUUUAUGGUUUCAAUUUUCAAGUGAUGAAGUUGUACAUUAUAUUUUGGAAGUGAUUGAGAUGAAACUAAGACUAAAUUAGGCUUCCUAUUUUUUUUUUAUUUUUUUUUGGAAAAUUAGGCCUCUUUUUAUGCUUGGGUGUACUAGUUGUUUAGCUUUUGAGUUUGCAGUAGUAUGAAUUGUCUUAUAAUA
Capsicum annuum is the source of this 1368-nucleotide long non-coding RNA. RefSeq lists it as uncharacterized. The transcript is spliced from 2 exons. Lineage: Eukaryota; Viridiplantae; Streptophyta; Magnoliopsida; Solanales; Solanaceae. The record is from RefSeq and is a predicted model, not a curated record.